Molecule: ribosomal RNA, 780 nt
Filed under: uncultured Neocallimastigales
Lineage: Eukaryota; Fungi; Neocallimastigomycota; Neocallimastigomycetes; Neocallimastigales
Description: partial large subunit ribosomal RNA
Rfam family: Eukaryotic large subunit ribosomal RNA
Source: RNAcentral
UAUAGAGACUCAGAGCUGCAUAUCAAUAAGCGGAGGAAAAGAAACUAACAAGGGUUCCCUUAGUAACGGCGAGUGAAGCGGGAAGAGCUCAAAUUUGAAAUCUUCAAGGUUCUACCUUGACGAAUUGUAGUUUAUAGAAGUGUUUUCUGUUAGUGGAGUGGCAGAAGUUCUUUGGAAUAGGACAUCAUAGAGGGUGAGAAUCCCGUAUUUGGUCAUUCCUCCUAGCGUUGUGAUACACUCUCAACGAGUCGGAUUGUUUGGGAAUGCAGUCCAAAAUGGGUGGUAAAUUUCAUCUAAAGCUAAAUAUUGGCGAGAGACCGAUAGCGAACAAGUACCGUGAGGGAAAGAUGAAAAGAACUUUGAAAAGAGAGUUAAACAGUACGUGAAAUUGUCAAAAGGGAAGCGUUUGACACCAGUGUUGUUUUUCCGAAAAUCAAUUACGAAUGUUUUGUUUUUGAGGAGUUAUGACUUCAUCGGCUUGCUCCUUUCUUUACGAAACUUUCUUAAUGCACUUUUCGGUUAACAAGUCAACAUCAAUUUCUUUUGUUGUAAAAGGGUAUGAGGAAGGUGGCUUUCUUUUCGGAGAAAGUGUUUAUAGCCUUGUGCCUUCUGCAAUCGGAGAGAUUGAGGUCUGCAGCGUAGAUCCUUCGGGGUUAGAUACGUUUGUGCUAAGUUAUAGCCUUUUCAUAGACAGCUUGAUUGACUAUGUUUCAGUCUUGUAGCCUACUCGCUGACGUCUAUUUUACCUACGCUUAGGAUGUUGAAGAUAUGCGCGACACG